AAAACAUUGUUCUUAGGUCCAGAGAUACCUAAAGGGGAGGAGUGGCUCUUGAGAAGCAAGGUGGGAACAAUAAAAAAUCUAGAGAUGAUUCCUAUACUGCAGGAUGCAUUCCUAUUGGAGGGUCACAACACAAUACAGGUUAGAUAUAUGGGAGAUGACCAGGUGCUGAUCACGGGACCAGCAGGAAUAACACUUGAGGAAACCCUACUUAAGGUGUGGAGGAAUGGCUAAAGGAGUAUGUAGAAGACAUUAAACCUUGGAGUCCCUCGGUUGCUCCGGUGAGUAGAAUCACCUGGGUCCGCUGAAUAUGUGGACGAUGGAAUGCUUCAGACACAUUUUGCUUCAAGUCGGUAACGUUGUGAGAAUAGAUGAGAAGACAAGUACGUUUGAGAAUUUGGACCAUGCCAGGGUUCAGGGUUGAUCUUAAUCCUGAUGUUGAUCUUGACAACGGAGUGGGGAAUGAAGGAGCACCCAACCAAGAAUCUUCAGCCAAAGGUUCAACUACGGAUACUGUUUGAAACACCCAAGGAGAAGCGGUGGUGGCUAGAGGACCUGUCAUGCGUCAUGCUGUUGAGUCGUGAUGGAGGCACCCCUAGACUUCAGAGGAUUGGAACGCAGGAGUCUGGAGAGGCGGGUUUCGUGGUGGGCUCGCUAGCAAAGAUGAAUGCAGCGGAAAGGCGACAACUUAGAGCUGCUAUGCGGAAUGUUGAAUCAGGACUCAAGAAUUGUAAUAGAUCCUUCUGGUUGAGGAAUGUUGAAUCAGAAGCAAGGAACUUAUGGUCAGCAGGAAGAGAGCUUGGGGUUACAGCCCUAUGGAGCGAAGCAGAAAUCAUUAGUAGACUAAUUACAAUGGAGCACAGGGAUGCAGAGGAGGUACAGGUUCAAGCGGAAACAGGGAGGAAGAUAUGUCAUCAUCAAUAUAGUCUCUUAUAAGCUCAGUAAUUGUGAAUGUUUAUUCCUCUGGUCAUAUAGAGGAAAAAAGAAGAAUGUGGGCGAACUGCUAGAUUGGAGAAGAAGGAACAAUCUUACAGUUUGGUGUGUUGGGGGAGACUCCAAUUCAGUAACGGGAGAAGACGAAAGAAGGGGGUGGCGAUGGGUGCAGGUUCACAGAGAAGGGAAAUUUCUGAGUUCAAUAAUUUCAUUGGAGACAUGGAGCUGCUAGACCUACCACUUGCAGGAAGGAAGUUUACAUGGUAUAGGCCAAACGGUCGUGCUCAAAGUCGCAUUGACAGGUUCCUUGUUUCUCCGGAUUGGCUUGCAUUCUGGCCUAAUUGUUCACUACUGGGACUCAAUAGAUACAUAUCAGAUCCUUGUCCCUUGUUAUUGAGGAGCAAGGUGAUUGAUUGGGGGCCUAAACCCUUUUGUGUGAUGAAUUGCUGGCUCAAUGACCCAAGGUUUGGGGGAUUUGUGGAGGAGGCUUGGGGUGAGAAUCAGCUUUCGGGGUGGGGGGCGUAUGUGCUUAAGGAGAAAUUGAAAUGUCUGAAAGGGAAGCUAAAAGUAUGGAAUAAAGAAGUUUUUGAAGACUUGAGGAGCAGGAGGAAUGAGGUUGUGCAAAAACUAAAUGAGUUGGACCGCAAGGAAGAGGAGGAGGGGUUGUUUGAGGAGGAAAAUAAUGAGAGAAAGUGGUUGCUGGAUGAGUUUUGGACAAUGCUAAGACUCCAUGAAUAACUUCUAUACCAGAAAUCCAGGUCUAAGUGGCUCAAAGAAGGGGAUCAGAAUACAAAGUAUUUCCAUUCCCUUAUUAAUUGGAGGAGGCGUACAAAUUCAAUUAUGGGGCUGAUGAUUGAUGGUAACUGGGUGGAGGAUCCACAAGCAAUUAAAACAGAGGUAAAAAAUUAUUUUGAGCAGUGCUUCACAAAUUCUCUUGGGACUCUAGUGCGAUUGGACGGGAUUUCAUUUAAAUCAAUUUCAGAUGCCGAUAAUGAAUUGCUAACAGGGCGGUUUGGGAUGGAAGAAGUAAAGGGAGCUGUGUGGGAGUGUGGAGGAGACAAAAGCCCAGGACCAGAUGAAUUUAAUUUCAAAUUCAUUCAGAAGUUUUGGGACCUGCUGAAGGAUGAUUUCCAUAGAGUGCUUGAGGACUUUUGGAAUAGGGGGUGUGGCCUAAAGGAUGUUACAGUUCGCUGAUGAUACCAUCUUUAUUGGUAGGGCAACUGGACAAAAUGUACAAUACUAAAGUGUGUACUGCGUUGCUUUGAGAUGGCUUCGGGUCUCAAAGUAAAUUUCCACAAAAGUAAUCUCACAGGUAUAGCGGUGGAUAGGGGGAGUAUGCGAAGAUUUGCUGCUGUAUUACAUUGUAAAUUAAUGGAGGUUCCUUUUACAUAUUUGGGCAUCCCUGAUGGUGGAAGAACGAACUCAGUGGCGAUGUGGGAGCUGAUUAUCAAUAAAUUAAGAGGAACUUUGUAGAGGAAAUAAAGAAAAUCGAAGCAAACAAGUGAUUCCACAUAUGGGUGGUUCUAAAGCUACCACAACUGAUUGGGUUAAGGUUGGGGGUCUCGGCGAUGUUGUUACCAGUCAAUCCCGAGCUGUUUAGGAUUUAAAUCACAAAGUGCACAUUGUUCUUCCAAAGUAUGACUGUUUGAGUUUUAGCCAUGUAAGAUUAUUUCUUCUGCUUUGGCAUUUACUUUACAUCUUAAGCUCUGCAAUGGACAUUUGAAUUUUAAUAUUCUCUAUAUUAUGAGUUUUCUGGCGUGUCCUAUUGGAAGAGCAUGAUCUCAUGGUCAAUCAUGAGGAUUUUAUAGCUUGAGUUUCAAUGUGAAGCUGGUGCAUAAUCAAAGGGAGAAAAUAAAUAUCAUGAAGUUGAUUGGGACUACAUUCAUGGAAGUAUGUGCUGUUGUUGAGCAUGUUUCUUAAUAUCUGGCUGCUGAACAUCUGCAUUGGUGGCUUUCUUAGAAGUUAAAAAUGGCUACUGUGGUGCUGCAGUUUUUACUAAAUGCCAAAAAAAAA
Long non-coding RNA from Lotus japonicus, 2943 nucleotides. RefSeq lists it as uncharacterized. Lineage: Eukaryota; Viridiplantae; Streptophyta; Magnoliopsida; Fabales; Fabaceae. The record is from RefSeq and is a predicted model, not a curated record. The transcript has 3 exons.